RNAcentral lists this ribosomal RNA (185 nucleotides) under Serendipita vermifera. RNAcentral describes it as "partial 28S ribosomal RNA". It matches the Rfam family "Eukaryotic large subunit ribosomal RNA", at positions 23 to 207 of the family's 3401-position model. Lineage: Eukaryota; Fungi; Basidiomycota; Agaricomycetes; Sebacinales; Serendipitaceae. The record is from RNAcentral.
ACCCGCUGAACUUAAGCAUAUCAAUAAGCGGAGGAAAAGAAACUAACAAGGAUUCCCCUAGUAACGGCGAGUGAAGAGGGAAAAGCUCAAAUUUUGAAUCUGGUGUCUUUGACUCCCGAGUUGUAAUCUAGAGAAGUGUUUUCCGUGUCGGACCGUGUACAAGUUCCCUGGAACGGGGCGUCAUA